Molecule: long non-coding RNA, 706 nt
Organism: Melospiza georgiana
Lineage: Eukaryota; Metazoa; Chordata; Aves; Passeriformes; Passerellidae
Exons: 3
Source: RefSeq, a predicted model, not a curated record
GACGCCGGCAUGGGCCCGAGCUGCCCGCUGGUGUGCUGCUCUGCAGCUCAGGAGCAGCGAAGGGAGUAGGGAAUGCAUCACAUUACCAGAGGACAGGUAGACAAACGAAAACGGUAGCUGUAGAUAGUAGUUUAAAAGUACACUUACAUUACUUUUUUAACAUUUCGACUUAAAAAUGAUCCUAAGAAUGAAUGAGUGCCGUCUCAGGAGUGAUCUUGAGAAAGAUGACAGGAAGAGCUAGCGUGGCCCACCAAGGGAGUCAGCAGAGCACCUCAUUCACACAGAGCUGACUCUUAAAUUGAAUCUGCCAUGCCCUGCCUGUGUGUUGUAAAAAGCCUUACAGCCCCUGCUACCCAGCCCCUCCGUUCAUCUUCCUUCCCUUUUCUUUCCGAGGACAAUGGUGUUGCCUUGAUAGUCUUCAGACAAGCCUGGUUCCUGCUGCAGGUGGUGUGCUUUGGCCAAACCUCAACUGCUGGACUUCGUGGGACUGGAAAACUCACAGAGGUAUUCAAAAAGCAACCAGUUCUAUGUGGCCCUGCUUGAGCAGGGAGCUGGAAAAGAAAACCACCGGAUGUUCUUUCCAUCAGCUACUUUGCAACUCUGUGAUGACCACAGAAGGUCUUCUGCAAAAUCCAUGUCUGUUUAUUUGGCGUUAUUUGAGCAAUGGUGAAGCAUUACAAAAAUGUUUAAAGAACUCUCUACAAUA